Hyaena hyaena (striped hyena) is the source of this 2706-nucleotide long non-coding RNA. RefSeq lists it as uncharacterized. Lineage: Eukaryota; Metazoa; Chordata; Mammalia; Carnivora; Hyaenidae. The transcript has 2 exons. The record is from RefSeq and is a predicted model, not a curated record.
AAUUAUGGUAAUGAGAUAUAUUUUAAUAUCUGAGUCUGCUAAGUAAUAUCUGGAUCUUUUAUAAGUUUAUUUCUGUUUUCUGCUUUUUAUCUUGAACUUUGGGCAUUUAUUCUUAUCUCUUCACUACUGGCUAAUUUUUUUUAUUGAAUCCUAGACACAGUGUCUGAACAUUUAUGAAGUGUUAUCUUCCUCCACUUGUUACUACUGGAAGGCAGUUAGUGUUGGAAGGAUUGCUCUAACCAAAUCUAAGAUCAAGUCCAUUGGAGGUGGGCUUUAUUCUAUAUGAGGGAUGGUAAAUUUCUAGAGUAUAGGCUUUUGUGGUCCCAGCUGAAAGUGUAGAUUGUUUGCUCAGGCUUUUUCUUCUUGGUGACCCUGAAAUACAUUUUUUUUACCCCAAGUGAUAUUAAGACUCCUAGAAGCUUUAUAUAGCUUCUCAGCUGCUGCUUGAAAACGUAGAAGUGCCACAGGAGCAAAGGCAUGAAUGUUCAGUUUAUCUAGAGGCUUCCUUUUAUUCUGGGAUCUUGUCUUUUGACGUCUUCGCUAAUCUGGUAAGCUUUCUGAUACCUUAAAACAAAUAGCUUGACGGUCUGUAUUUUGUAAUCGUGCUUGGCAGGAGUAUUGGUCUGCACUGAGCUUACCCCAUUGCUGGUAAGAUCUCUGACCAUGGCACUUUGGUUUUCUCUGAUAUGACAACAAUAUUUUUAUAUUUCCUUUUGUUUUCUUCCAUUAAUCAUCUUUGACUUUGCCUUCCUUAUUUCAAAUCUAUUUUAUUGAGACUCUGUCUUAAGGUAUGUGUUUUCAUUCCUUUAGUCUUACUCUUCUAGUGAAUUCAUUUACACAAAUUAGUCUUAAAUCUAUUUCUGUAAGAUAUGUUUUGUGUUUGAUCACUCUGUGUAUUUACCUACUUUUAUCUCAAAAACAGUCUAUUGAUUAAAAGUAGGGGCAUUGGAAUCAUAUGAACUGGAGUCAAGUCUUGAUUUCAUGAAUUACUAGCUGUAAUUCUUUGGUCAAGCUAUUCAACCUCCUCAAAUCUCAGUUUCUCCGUAAAAAAUAUGAAAAUGAUAUAAAUAUGAUUAUUAUGAGGACUGAAUAAGGUCAUGUAGAUAAAAAUGCUUGAUGUAUACAAAAAUGCCUGGCAUAAGCCUGACACAAAGUAAGCACUUAAAAAUGUUAGCUAUUAUUAUUCUAAAUACCAAUUGAAAGGAGAUACAGAGAUAGGUAUUAGGAAGUCAAAAAUACAGUAUCUGUCUUUAGUAUAAUACCUUCCAUUCCUACUGGAGAUUUCCAUUAACAUGUCUCAAUAAUUCUUAAGUUAAAUAUGUCAAAACUGAAAUCUGUGCUUUCUUGACACAGAAUCAAUCAUUCCUGAUAUUACCAGUGACACCUCUAUAUAUUUAGUUCUUUGAAAUACCAAACAGAAUAAUUUUACACUUCCCUCAAUCCUCUGUUGUGUCUGUCACGAUCUCUAGCCAAUUAUUUUUCUCUAAUGUUUCUACUUCUUCCUUUUCUUUCUUCCUUCUACACUUCUAAGAAUGGGCCUCCCUCACUCAGUGCAUAGAUAACCUUACCUAGGUAUUUAUUCUUAAUCAUCCAGGCUUUUGUCCAUUCAUCUGUUGUAUCCUGCAUCCAAGUAUGAAAAUUAUCUUGUAACACAAUUCCAUCACCUAUACCCCUGAUUAGUUUUACAAAAUUUCUCUCUGAUAUCAAUGAUAUCAGAUCCCAACUCUUUAGUGUGGCAUGUAAAAUACUUUAAAGGCUGGUGGUUCGUUUUAUCCCACCUCACCAAGAUUAGUUCUCAUUAAUGAGAAGUCUGAAGAUGGUAAUAAAAAACUAAUCUGAGCAUACAUAGCACCUAAAUCUUGGCAUCUAAUCAGUGUUCUUCAGUAGAAGGAAUAAUAUCUUCUUGAAGAAGUAUUUGAUUCCAGAUCUAGGGCAAGAAAUAUACAAGAUGAACCUGGACUAGUAUGUUAUGCCAGAAAGCAAGGAAAUGACAGGAUCCAAUCUGAGAGAGUUCCCAGUGGCCAGACAUGGAAUAAUACAAGCAACAAAAUUAAUAAUAAUAUUGGAUUUAACCCAUGGAAUAAAUAGAUAUCCAUAAUCCAUGCACAUAUAUAUAUAUAUAUAUGUAUAUGCAUAUGUAUAUAUGUAAAGGAGAAGAGACAGCUCUUCCUCACAAUAGAAUUCCAAUCAACAAAUGUAGAAGAACAGGGAGAACCAUGUAGAGAACCAUUAUUAGGCAGACACUCCACUGGUAAUGUGCAGACAAGAUCCACCAAUGGAUACUAAAAUUAGGGGGGCAAUUAUUUGAGGAAAAAAUAGGAUUUGCAUAAUUUCAAGGAAUCUUCCCUGCCCUAAAUACUUAUAAACUACAAAGGAAAAAAUAGUAAUUUUAUAGCGGGUAAACCUACAGACACCGGUAAUAAGAUAUGCUGAUAUCGUGAACCCCAAGAUAUGAUACACUAAGGAGAGAAACAUCAUUGUUGUGAUAGUUGGGCUAUGCUAGCCAAAAAUUUACUUCAUUCCAGGUAUGGGGAAAUCCUGAACAAAUGCAAAUCAGGAGACAAUCUACAAAAUAACAGCUAAUUUCAGUGGAGACUCAGGAGCCAGUUUGCAAAAUUUUCAACCUAACAAUAUACAGGUUUGGAGUUUUGACUGAAAUACAGAUCUUUUGGCAUUUAAGUUCAUUUGCCUUUGGCAAAAAAAAAA